Molecule: ribosomal RNA, 274 nt
Filed under: uncultured bacterium
Lineage: Bacteria
Description: partial 16S ribosomal RNA
Rfam family: Bacterial small subunit ribosomal RNA
Source: RNAcentral
AUACAGAGGGUGCGAGCGUUAAUCGGAAUUACUGGGCGUAAAGCGCGCGUAGGCGGCUUGGUCAGUCGGAUGUGAAAGCCCUGGGCUCAACCUGGGAAUUGCAUUCGAUACUGCCAAGCUAGAGUAUGGGAGAGGGAAGUGGAAUUUCCGGUGUAGCGGUGAAAUGCGUAGAUAUCUGAAAGAACACCAGUGGCGAAGGCGACUUCCUGGCCCAAUACUGACGCUGAGGUGCGAAAGCGUGGGGAGCGAACAGGAUUAGAUACCCUAGUAGUCC